GGCGCGGGGAGGGAGGGGCGGCGGGUGCGUGGACCGAACCACCACGGUGUUGUUUGCGGUUUUAAUCCCUCCCGUGGGAUCAGGAGGAACUGAAGCUGGCAGAGUCCCAGGAAUAUGCCUGCUCCCCCGAAGUAGGAGGGAAUGUCAAGGGCACGAAUUCAUUCAUGCCUCUGUCCUGCCUCUGAGCACAGAACACUGUGAUGGUCUACACCUCUGUCCUCCUCACUGGGCUGUGACCACAUCGGUGAGGUCUCUGGCGUCCCAGCUCCCAGCAUGUGGUAGGCGUCAUCGUAAAGCCUUGAAUGAAUCUGCUGCUGUGUGAUUUCGAGUCAUCAAAUGCCAGAACAAGAAGGACCCUCAAGGA
Equus caballus (horse) is the source of this 364-nucleotide non-coding RNA. The record is from RefSeq and is a predicted model, not a curated record. Lineage: Eukaryota; Metazoa; Chordata; Mammalia; Perissodactyla; Equidae.